UAGGGAAUCUUCCGCAAUGGACGAAAGUCUGACGGAGCAACGCCGCGUGAGCGAUGAAGGCCUUCGGGUCGUAAAGCUCUGUUGUCAGGGAAGAACAUGUAUCGGAGUAACUGCCGGUACCUUGACGGUACCUGACCAGAAAGCCACGGCUAACUACGUGCCAGCAGCCGCGGUAAUACGUAGGUGGCAAGCGUUGUCCGGAAUUAUUGGGCGUAAAGCGCGCGCAGGCGGUUCCUUAAGUCUGAUGUGAAA
RNAcentral lists this ribosomal RNA (252 nucleotides) under uncultured Mesobacillus sp. Its description in RNAcentral is "partial 16S ribosomal RNA". It matches the Rfam family "Bacterial small subunit ribosomal RNA", at positions 355 to 599 of the family's 1533-position model. The record is from RNAcentral. Lineage: Bacteria; Bacillati; Bacillota; Bacilli; Caryophanales; Bacillaceae.